CCUACGGGAGACAGCAGUAGGGAAUAUUGCUCAAUGGGGGAAACCCUGAAGCAGCAACGCCGCGUGGAGGAUGAAGGUUUUCGGAUUGUAAACUCCUUUUGUUAGAGAAGAUAAUGACGGUAUCUAACGAAUAAGCACUGGCUAACUCCGUGCCAGCAGCCGCGGUAAUACGGAGGGUGCGAGCGUUACUCGGAAUCACUGGGCGUAAAGAGCGCGUAGGCGGGAUAGCAAGUCAGAUGUGAAAUCCUAUGGCUCAACCAUAGAACUGCAUUUGAAACUGUUAUUCUAGAGUAUAGGAGAGGUAGGUGGAAUUCUUGGUGUAGGGGUAAAAUGCGUAGAUAUCAAGAGGAAUACUCAUUGCGAAGGCGACCUGCUAGAACGUAACUGACGCUGAUGCGCGAAAGCGUGGGGAGCAAACAGGAUUAGAUACCCUAGUAGUC
Molecule: ribosomal RNA, 440 nt
Filed under: uncultured bacterium
Lineage: Bacteria
Description: partial 16S ribosomal RNA
Rfam family: Bacterial small subunit ribosomal RNA
Source: RNAcentral